RNAcentral lists this ribosomal RNA (906 nucleotides) under Triticum aestivum (bread wheat). Its description in RNAcentral is "partial small subunit ribosomal RNA". Lineage: Eukaryota; Viridiplantae; Streptophyta; Magnoliopsida; Poales; Poaceae. The record is from RNAcentral.
AUGCCGGCCCCCUUGUUUGCUUGCCUCUCCGACCCGGGCUCUGGCUCUAGCCCUGAUGGCAGCACACCAUCACCCCCUCUGCUCAAGAGAUCCAGACACCCCAGCCCGUCCGUACAAAACCAGAACCGCGGCUCCAUACCUCGCCGCCUCUCCUCCUUUUCCUCCUCUCUCUCCCGCUCCGCCGUCCUGCCCCCAUCCACCCGUGCUCGACCCCGACCCUGGAUCCCAUCCCGCCGGAUCCGAGGCGUCUGGGCGUGGAGGCGAGCUUCUCCGACGGCAGCGAUGACCACCAUCCAGGCCCCCUUGCUCACGGAGGAGAGGCUACGACCGAGGGGAUGCAGAGGAGGAGCGGGCCUCGCGGAGGAGGGGCCGCAGCUGCGGGAGCUCUCCACGGAGGAGGAUUCUGUGGUGGUGGAGCAGAGCGUGCGGUGGAGCGGAAGUAGCAGUGGAGGCUGGAAGAGCGCGACGUGGCAUCAGGUGGCUGCAGUGGCCGAAGGGGCGAUGCGGCGUUGCUGCCUCUACCUCCAUCCUGACCCUUUUACUCGUGCACAGGCUAUACUUGCAAGUGCAUUUGCUCGUAAGGACCAUUCGAAGGCCAAGGCCACAGCUUACCACGUACCGCAGCUCGGAUUGAUCUUGGGGCUUCUCCUGGGCCUACUUCUUGGAGUUGGCCUCCAUACAGGUUCGAGAUUAUUUACAGAAGACCGUGGUGUACUGCAUCAUAUCUACAUGGCAACACCGAUACUCGUGGCUGUUGUUAGCAUCGCUUGCAUGGUCACCCUCGCCAGUUACAGUGAUUUCAUUGGAAUCUGGAUAGCCUUGUCCAUCUACAUGUGCCUCCGCAUGUUUGCAGGAUUAUGGAGGAUUGGGACUGCUAGCGGGCCAUGGGCUUUCCUUCGCAGCUGA